UAAAUCAAGAUGCUUUGACACUUGUAGUGUAAUGUAAUGACAGGGGGAAGAGGAAGAAGAGCAGGAGGUGCAGGUUUCCUGGCAUGUGGGGUCUGAGCAGGUGGUGCAGGGCACUGGCACGCCUGGGUCCAUGGGACCCCAGCCACAGCCUUCUCUCUUCGCCAGGCCUGUGGAGGCCACUUGCUCACCUCUAGUGGCAGUUAGUGAAGCCAUGGCUUAGAACCUUGGCCCGCAUGCCAGAUGCUGCCCCGUGAUUGGCUGUCAGAAUGCCAUGACAUCACAGCCACUGGGAAUUUUAAACCGGGACAUGAGGCAGUCUGGCCAGUAGUGCAUCAACUGAGCUACUGAACUGCUGUUGGUAGCGAAGGCUGGAGCACAGCUGAAGGAUGCAGAUGGGUUCGCGAUGGAGAUUGGACAUGGUUGCUGUGAGGGCCCGAUGGGACCGUGAGCGAGCAGCGACAAUUGCCAAAUAUGAGCAGGGCCGCCGAGGUGCGGCUCUAUUUGAGCCUGAAGAAGAGGAUGAUGACAGCGGCCGCCUCUUCCUAGACAGGCUUGGAUUUUUACAGUGAGUCAUUCGCAGCCCUGCUCCUUCCAGGCCAGGGAACCAUCUCAGUGUGCCCUGCCUUGAGGCUGAACACCUGUCCCCAGG
This is a long non-coding RNA of Ochotona princeps (American pika), 649 nucleotides long. RefSeq lists it as uncharacterized. The record is from RefSeq and is a predicted model, not a curated record. NCBI's taxonomy places the organism in Eukaryota, Metazoa, Chordata, Mammalia, Lagomorpha, Ochotonidae. The transcript has 3 exons.